This is a long non-coding RNA of Hordeum vulgare subsp. vulgare (domesticated barley), 821 nucleotides long. RefSeq lists it as uncharacterized. Lineage: Eukaryota; Viridiplantae; Streptophyta; Magnoliopsida; Poales; Poaceae. The record is from RefSeq and is a predicted model, not a curated record. The transcript has 2 exons.
UUCUAGCAAGCUGUGAAUACUACUUCAGAGAAGAAAGGUUUAUGAAAAUCUCUCUUGGCUGCUAAAGCGGCAUCCCACAUGGAGUUACCCUGCCAAGAAAUCUGAAGAUAGUUACAAACCCUGAUGCUGAACAUACAGUUAAAAAAGAGAUGAUCCCUGUCCUCCUUGACUCUUGCAUGACAUAGGACACAUAAGUUGGAAUUAGAAACAUUCCAGUGGCGUCUCUCUAGCAUGUCUUGGGUAUUUAGUCUAUCCAUGAUAAGCAUCCAGGCAAACAUUUUUAUUUUCAUUGUGCAGCAACUUUUCGAAACCCAUCUAAGAAUGGGGUUGGGUAUAAUGGGCUGAUGGACAUGCAAGUAGUACUUCUUAGCUGUGUAAGUUUUGGUGUCAGUACUCCAAAGCUAGAUAUCAUUGCUUGACUGUUCUCUAUGCAGAUUUUGAAGAAGGUUGGUAACUGUUUGCAGUUCCUGGAAAGCUCUGUCAGAAAGAGGCAGGUGAAAGAGGCUAGUCAUGGAGUUUGCCUCAAAAGCUUGGACCACCUCCUCAGCAGUACUGAAGGUUGCUAUGAUAAAUUGAUGAUGCAUGGCCCAUAUGUUGAUUGCAAGGUGGAGAAUGGGGCUGCUAUUCGAUAGUCUUAUGAAGUUUUUUAGAAUGUCAUUUCCAGUGUGGGUAAUUCAAACAUUGUGUUUUAGAAUGGUCGAGGCGUUGAUUGAAACGUCGAGAUUAGGGUACUAUUUUAGUAUCACUUAUUGUAACCUUUGGAUCAUGUUCUUUGUAAUGCAACAAAGUCAAAUUAAUAUAUGGGACCAUCAUGUUUGUUA